CCGCAUGACAGGAUGCCUGUUAACAUUACCGUAUCGCAUGAUUAAUUAAUAACUGUGUGUUAUUUUCUUGCUUGAAAUGUUACUUUGAUGGCCCUGCAAGCUCCUACAUUGCUGUAUAGGCUGUGAUAUGGUUAAUUGGCUUCUACAAUACUUGUCUCCUCGAGUUGGUACAGAAAGAGUGCUGUAUCCCUGUGGCUAUCUGAGUUCCUAUAAUAUUUCACAUUCCACCCUUCUCCAGCUCUCAUUAGGAUUUAUAUAAUAAGCAUUUAAUUACUCAACCCUACUUAUUCCCCAGAUAUUAGGAUCUUAGAGGCACCGGGUCUAAUUGAGUUAGUACUGGUAUGAUUAAUUAGCUGGAGAAAUGUCAGGAUGGCUCUUUGUCUGGUGGUGAGAGCCUCGGCUAUAGG
Pelobates cultripes (western spadefoot toad) is the source of this 407-nucleotide non-coding RNA. Lineage: Eukaryota; Metazoa; Chordata; Amphibia; Anura; Pelobatidae. The record is from the annotation of a GenBank genome assembly.